Molecule: ribosomal RNA, 507 nt
Filed under: uncultured bacterium
Lineage: Bacteria
Description: partial 16S ribosomal RNA
Rfam family: Bacterial small subunit ribosomal RNA
Source: RNAcentral
GACGAACGCUGGCGGCGUGCCUAAUACAUGCAAGUCGAACGCAUUCUCAUUCACCGUUGCUUGCUACACCGAACGAAAAUGGGUGGCGAACGGGUGAGUAACACGUCGGUAACUUGCCCAUCAGCGGGGGAUAACACCUGGCAACAGGUGCUAAUACCGCAUACUUCUAUUUGCCGCAGGGCAGCUGGAUGAAAGGCGCUUUUGCGUCACUUAUCGAUGGAGCCGCGGUGCGUUAGCAAGUUGGACGGGUAACGGCCUACCAAGGCUGCGAUGCAUAGCCGACCUUGGGGGGUGAUCGGCCACACCGGGACCGGGACACGGCCCAGACCCCUACGGGGAGCAGCAGCUGGGAAACUUCGGACAAUGACACAAGGCUGACCGAGCAACGCCGGGUGGGGGAAGAAGGUUCUCGGGUCGGAAAACUCCGUUUUUAGAGAAGAACAAGGAUGAGAGUGGAAAGUUCAUCCCUUGACGGUACCUAACCAGAAAGCCACGGCUAACUACGUG